RNAcentral lists this long non-coding RNA (988 nucleotides) under Rattus norvegicus (Norway rat). RNAcentral describes it as "long non-coding RNA NONRATT015010". The record is from RNAcentral. Lineage: Eukaryota; Metazoa; Chordata; Mammalia; Rodentia; Muridae.
GUACCAACCCCGAUCCCUGCUCAAUGUAGCAUUUUUUUUUUUUUUGUUUUAUUUUCUUUAUUAAUAAUAAAAGCAGGGGUAGGUUUCUUUAAACUGCACAAACAUGCAAGGAUUUUUUAAAAACGGAAACUUCUCUCAUGUUAUUCAACCAGAGCACUUCAGUUUACAAACAGCAAGACCAUCUGUCUGGAAGCCAGCCGAGGGACUGUGUGCAAAUGACGAGACGAGACGCUUGGAUCCUGUUCCCAUCCUAGACCAGGGCUACCGUACACAGAACUGGGCACUUUACUGCCGGGAGACUUCUGUGUUAAAAAUUUUUUUCUGACUAAAAAUUUGGCAUUUGAAGAUGUGGUAUUCAUAUGGGAUUUUGUCCACCAUUGUCAAGAUUGCAAUAUUAAAAAUCAUACUGGUCACUGGUAAUUUAGUUUAUUCCAAGGCAGUUGACUUGCAGAAGCACAGUCUACAAAGCCCAGGAAGUUGCCACAGUGGUUUACGUUUUGGGACACCUCUUAAGUUUGAACUGCAGUUCAAAGUGUUAAUAACGUAGUCUUGUAGAUGGUAUGCACAGUGCAGAGCCUUGAAGUAUAUUCAAGCUAUUUUGUUUAGCUUGAAUAGUUGGAAAGAAAAAUGUGAGUUUCUGUCUGAAAUAAAAUGGUACGUUACCACUUUUAAGUUUUAAGUGAGAGAUGUUCACAGGCAUCUCAGACGUGAUUUUACUUUUACUCCAAACGUGAAUAAGAAGCCAUUGUCAUAGCUUUGCCCAUUUUUGCUUUAUUAGACAUGCUCUUAAGUUUUAAGGUGAAUCAAACUAUACAAUACAGUAUUAGGAUAUAAGCUUUGCUUUUAUAGUACAGUUAAAACAAUUACUUUUUGCACCGUCUUAAUUACAUUUUUUUAUUUUACUAGUUGUGUUGCUUUGCAAAAAAACUUAGAACAUUUGACUGUGUUGCUGUUGUGUGAGUUGCUUCAAGGUGUGCUGAGUAGGUAG